RNAcentral lists this ribosomal RNA (468 nucleotides) under uncultured bacterium. RNAcentral's name for it is "partial 16S ribosomal RNA". It matches the Rfam family "Bacterial small subunit ribosomal RNA", at positions 28 to 507 of the family's 1533-position model. The record is from RNAcentral.
GACGAACGCUGGCGGCGUGCUUAACACAUGCAAGUCGAACGGAAAGGCCAUGCUUUUGCGGGGUGCACGAGAGGCGAACGGGUGAGUAUCACGCGAGUAACAUGCACUUGACUUUGGGAUAACUUCAGGAAACUGGGGCUAAUACCGGAUAGGAGCUACUGCUGCAUGGUGGGGGUUGGAAAGAUUCGGCGGUUGGGGAUGGACUCGCGGCUUAUCAGCUUGUUGGUGGGGUAGUGGCUUACCAAGGCUUUGAAGGGUAGCCGGCCUGGGAGGGGGAACGGCGACAAGGGGACUGCGAUACGCCGCAGACUCCUACGGGAGGCAGCGGUGGGGAAUAUUGCACAGUGGGCGGAAGCCUGAUGCAGCGACGCCGCGUGCGUGAUGACGUCCUUCUGGUUGUAAACCGCUGUCGCCUGUGACGAAGCGUGAGUGACGGUAAUGGGUAAAGAAGCACCGGCUAACUACGUG